GACGAACGCUGGCGGCGUGCCUAAUACAUGCAAGUUGAGCGCUGAAGGUUGGUACUUGUACCAACUGGAUGAGCAGCGAACGGGUGGGUAACGCGUGGGGAAUCUGCCUUUGAGCGGGGGACAACAUUUGGAAACGAAUGCUAAUACCGCAUAAAAACUUUAAACACAAGUUUUAAGUUUGAAAGAUGCAAUUGCAUCACUCAAAGAUGAUCCCGCGUUGUAUUAGCUAGUUGGUGAGGUAAAGGCUCACCAAGGCGAUGAUACAUAGCCGACCUGAGAGGGUGAUCGGCCACAUUGGGACUGAGACACGGCCCAAACUCCUACGGGAGGCAGCAGUAGGGAAUCUUCGGCAAUGGACGAAAGUCUGACCGAGCAACGCCGCGUGAGUGAAGAAGGUUUUCGGAUCGUAAAACUCUGUUGGUAGAGAAGAACGUUGGUGAGAGUGGAAAGCUCAUCAAGUGACGGUAACUACCCAGAAAGGGACGGCUAACUACGUG
Molecule: ribosomal RNA, 497 nt
Filed under: uncultured bacterium
Lineage: Bacteria
Description: partial 16S ribosomal RNA
Rfam family: Bacterial small subunit ribosomal RNA
Source: RNAcentral